Molecule: ribosomal RNA, 452 nt
Filed under: uncultured Thermus sp.
Lineage: Bacteria; Thermotogati; Deinococcota; Deinococci; Thermales; Thermaceae
Description: bacterial SSU rRNA
Rfam family: Bacterial small subunit ribosomal RNA
Source: RNAcentral
CGGUGGAGCAUGUGGUUUAAUUCGAAGCAACGCGAAGAACCUUACCAGGUCUUGACAUCCCGAUGCUAUUUCUAGAGAUAGAAAGUUACUUCGGUACAUCGGUGACAGGUGGUGCAUGGUUGUCGUCAGCUCGUGCCGUGAGGUGUUGGGUUAAGUCCCGCAACGAGCGCAACCCCCGCCGUUAGUUGCCAGCGGUUCGGCCGGGCACUCUAACGGGACUGCCCGCGAAAGCGGGAGGAAGGAGGGGACGACGUCUGGUCAGCAUGGCCCUUACGGCCUGGGCGACACACGUGCUACAAUGCCCACUACAAAGCGAUGCCACCCGGCAACGGGGAGCUAAUCGCAAAAAGGUGGGCCCAGUUCGGAUUGGGGUCUGCAACCCGACCCCAUGAAGCCGGAAUCGCUAGUAAUCGCGGAUCAGCCAUGCCGCGGUGAAUACGUUCCCGGGCCUU